GAUGAACGCUGGCGGCGUGCUUAACACAUGCAAGUCGAACGGAAAGGCCGAAGCUUGCUUCGGUACUCGAGUGGCGAACGGGUGAGUAACACGUGGGUGAUCUGCCCUGUACUUCGGGAUAAGCUUGGGAAAUUGGGUCUAAUACCGGAUAUGACGUUCUCUUGGAUGGGGUUGUGGAAAGCUUUUGCGGUUUGGGAUGAGCUCGCGGCCUAUCCGCUUGUUGGUGGGGUAUUGGCCUACCAAGGCGUCGACGGGUAGCCGGCCUGAGAGGGUGUACGGCCAGAUUGGGACUGAGAUACGGGCCAGACUCCGACGGGAGGCAGCAGUGGGGAAUAUUGGACAAUGGGAGCAAGCCUGAGGCAGCGACGCCGCGUGGGGGAUGACGGCCUUCGGGUUGUAAACUCCUUUCGCAAUGGACGAAGCCUUUUGGUGACGGUAGGUAGAGAAGAAGCACCGGCUAACUACGUG
This 468-nucleotide ribosomal RNA is filed under the name uncultured bacterium. RNAcentral's name for it is "partial 16S ribosomal RNA". It matches the Rfam family "Bacterial small subunit ribosomal RNA", at positions 28 to 507 of the family's 1533-position model. The record is from RNAcentral.